GGUGGGGCAGGCCUGGGCUAGCAGGCCCCAGGGAGAACUCCAAUGGCGUCUGUGUCAGCUCGCCCACACCAGGCCACAACAAUAGCCGCCGCCACUGUCCCAGUCCCUGGAAAGGUCUCACCUCUCACCCUGAUGUACUCAGGGCUUAUUAGAUUCUUUGGAGUGGAAUAGCUGGGUCAUGGGAUGGGGAAGAACCAAGAAAAUGUGACACAUUCUCUAGAGAAAAGAGAAUUAAUUCCAACUUGAAGGUGAACCAAACGUUGUAACUAGAAGAUGAGACUUUUAAAGUGGGAAUUUGAACUAUUCUCAGUGAAGUAAAGCAUAUUUUCAGUGCAUGAAAGUCUCAACAAAAAAAUGGAAACUCUCAACAAGAAAGUCCAAAUCAUGAAAAGGAAAUGAAUGGAAAUUCUAGAAAGGAACAAUAGAAUUUCUGAAGUGAAAAGUUCACUGAAAGGACUUAGCUUCUGUAUGAUGUACAGACAUGACCGAGGAAAGAGUAAGUGAACUUGAAGCCAGAUCAAUAGAAAUUAUUCUAGGUGAAGGAAAUAGUAAACAAAGAUUGGGAAGAACUGAAUAGAGCCUCAGAGACCUGUUAGAUCACAUCAAACAGUUGAACUUUUGUGUGACUGGGAUAUCAGAAGUGAUAACAGAGAGAAAUGGGGAAAAACUUUUUGAAGUAAUGGCUGAAAAGUUCUCAGACUCAAUGAAAUAUAAAAAUUUGUUGAUACAGAAUGCUAAACAUGAAGCAUUAUAAAAGCAAAGAAGCCUACCUUGGGCACAUUAUAGUUAAAGUGUUUAGAACUGAAGACAAAGUAUAAAUCUUCAGUAACCGAAAAAUGAUGUAUACGUGGGCACAAUGAUCCUACUAAUUUCUGACUUCUCAUCAGAAACCAUUCCAGCCAGAAAUGCAUGGAACACCUUUAAAUUGUCAGAAAACAAACAAAUAAACCUGUCCAUAUUGAAUGUAUAUCCAGUGAAAAUAUUUAAAAAUGAAGAUGAAAUAAAGGCAUUCUCACUAAAAGAAAACUAAGAAUAUUUGUUACAAACGAAUCUGUAUUACAAUACAUGAUAAAGGAAGUUCUUCAUACUGAAGUAAAUGAAAUUUCAUGGAGACUUGGAUCCUCAGAAAAGAAUGAAGGACAUUAGAGCUGGUAAAUAUCUGGGUAAAUACACUUUUUUUGUCUUUUCUCUCUUAACAGCUUUAUAAAACAAAUGCCGCAUUAAAGAUUAAAAUUGUAAUGAGGUCUAUAACAUAUUCUCGUUAGUGCCAUUGAGUCAAUUACAACUCCUAAUGACCCUGUGUACAGCAGAGUGGAACUCUGCCCUGUUUUUGUGCACCAUCCUCUCAUCUAGCGCUAUAUCAGACAAAGCUUCACUGCUAUUCACAGGGUUUUCAUGGCCAGUUUUUUUGGAAAUGGGUGGCUAGGUCCUUCUUCCUAGUCUGUUUGAGUUCAGAAGCUUCACUGAAACCUGUCUACCAUGGGUGACCCUGCUGGUAUUUGAAAUAUCUGGCAUAACUUUCAGCAUCACAACAACACAUUGCUGCCACAGUAUGGCAACCGACAGGCAGGUGGUGUGGUUCCCUGACUGGGAGACGAACCCAGGGCCACAGCAGUGAGAGCACCAAAUUUUAACCACUAAACCACCAGGGCUGGCUAUCUAUAAUAUUAUGUACAAAAAUAGUAACAUAAAGGACAGAGGGCUAUGACCUUAUAAGACUGCAAGAUGUUAUGAACCAAUACAUUGUUAACUGCAAAUGGACUGUGAUGUACUAGACUUUUACAUGUAGUCGGAUCUAGUUCUGGACUUUUCUGUUUUUUCUAUUGACCUGUUUAUUCGGGUGCCAGUACCACACUCUUAAUUAUAUAGGCUUUAUAGUAUAUUAUAUUUUAUCAGGCUAGUCCAUUCAUGGAGCUCUUCUUUUUUUUUUCUUCAGUGUUUUCCUAGAAAUUUGUAUAGGUUCAUUUUUCCAUUUGAACUUUAGAGUCAACUUGUGUACCUCAACAAAACUCAUUGGGAUUUUUUUGUAUUUUAUUAAAUUUAUAAGUUUAUGUUUAUAAAAUUUAUAAAUGAUGUGUUGAAGUUUUUGAGACAUCCUAAUCCAAGAACAGGGGAUGUCUUUUCUUUCAUUUAAGGCUCUUUUUGAAUUUUUCCUGUGUAUUUUAUAGUUAUAUUCUAUAUAUUUUAAACAUUUUUUUGUGCUGCUUAUUCAUAAUAUUUUAGGUUUUUUGUGUUGCUAUUGUAUUUGAGGUUUUAUCAUUAUGUCCUGUAACACAAGGGUCAGAAAACUUUUUAUAACGACCAGAUAGUGAAUAUUUUAAGCUUUUUGGUCUCUGUCACACUACUUAACUUUGCCAUUGUAGCACAAAAGUCACCUUAGACAGCAAAUAAAUGAAUGAGUAUAACUAUUUUCCAUUAAAACUUCAUUUAUAAAAACAGGCACCAGGACUUCUGUUUCAGACAGGGUGAUACAAACAUAUUUCUCCCUGUUCUUCCCCUCUUAAGUACAAUGUAAUCCUUGGAAAGCUGGAGGCAUCACAAUCCCUGACUUGAAAAUAUACUGCAAAGCUAUAGUAAAACAACAUGGUACUGGCACAAAAACAGACACUCAGAUCAACAGAACAGAAUUAAAAGCCCAGAAAUAAAACCACCCAUCUACUGACAGCCAAUCUUCGAUAGAGGUGCCAAGAACAUACAAUGGCGAAAAGAAAGUCUCUUCAAUAAAUGAUGUUGGGAAAACUGGACAGCCACAUGCAAAAAAUGAAAUUCGACCAUUAUCUUACACUAUACACAAACAUUAACUGAAAAUGGAUUAAAGACUUGAAGGUAAGACCUGAAACCAUAAAACUCCUAGAAGAAAAUAUAGGCAGUACACACUUUGACAUUGGUCUUAGCAGCAUCUUCUUGAAUACCAUGUCUCCUCAGGCAAGGGAAACAAAAGAAAAAAUAAACAAAUGGGACUACAUCAGACUAAAAAGCUUCUACAAGGCAAAGGAAACCAUGAACAAAACAAAAAGACAACCCACCAACUGAGAGAAAAUAUUUGUAAAUCAUAUCCAACAUGGGGUUAAUUUCCAAAAUAUGUAAAAAACUCAUACAACUCAACAACAAAAAAAGAACAACCCGAUCAAAAAAUGGGCAGAGGAUAUGAACAGACAUUUUUCCAAAGAAGAUAUGCAGAUGGCCAACAGGCACAUGAAAAGAUGUUUAACAUCACUAAUUAUUAGGGAAAUGCAAAUCAAAACUACAAUGAGAUAUCACCUUACAUCUGUCAGAAUGGCUAUAGUUAACAAGACAAAAAAUAACAAGUGUUGGAGAGGAUGUGGAGAAAAGGGAACCCUCAUUCACUACUGGUGGGAAAGCAAACUGGUGCAUCCACUAUGGAAAACAGUAUAGAGAUUUCUCAAAAAAUUAGAAAUAGAAAUACCAUAUGACCCAGCUAUCGUACUACUGGGUAUUUACCCAAAGAACAUGAAAUCAAUAAUACAAAGAGAUUUAUGCACCCUUAUGUUCAUUGCAUCAUUAUUCACAAUAGCCAAGAUAUGGAAGCAACCCAAGUGCCCACCAACUGAUGAUUGGAUAAAGAAGAUGUGGUAUAUAUAUAUGAUGGAAUACUACUCAGCCAUAAAAAAUGACGAAAUCAUCCCAUUGGCAACAACUUGGAUAUACCUUGAGGGUAUUAUGUUAAGUGAAAUAAGCCAGACAGAGAAAGAUAAGCACUAUAUGAUUUCACUCAUAUGUGGAAGAUAAACACAUGGAUUAAGAGAGCAGAUUACUGGUUACCAGAGGGGA
Molecule: long non-coding RNA, 3792 nt
Organism: Diceros bicornis minor
Lineage: Eukaryota; Metazoa; Chordata; Mammalia; Perissodactyla; Rhinocerotidae
Exons: 3
Source: RefSeq, a predicted model, not a curated record